This 754-nucleotide long non-coding RNA is filed under the name Vigna radiata. RNAcentral describes it as "long non-coding RNA (VRAD_LNC009288)". The record is from RNAcentral. Lineage: Eukaryota; Viridiplantae; Streptophyta; Magnoliopsida; Fabales; Fabaceae.
GUGUGUUUUACUAUCAAAUUUAAACAUGAAAAUAACGGUUUUUAGACCGUUAUCAAAACCGCAUUUGACCCACGAUGGAAGAGGAGGAAGCAUAGAAGUGAGGUGGCUGCUCGAUGUUGACGUGAUUGGAACGGGAAGUGAAGGCAGAGUAGAAGGUGGAGGCAGAGGCGGAGGAGACGGAAGCGGAGGCGGAGGUGGAGUUCUGGGCUGAAGGAAGGGAGACGAAACAUGACGUAGGAGAGAAUGGGGAAGGUUCUUGGGUGGGGAUCCAUGGUGGCUUGCAUUGUAAAUCAUAGGUUGAGGAGGUUGGGUGGAAGGUGGAAGAAAGGCGAAGGAGAGAGAGGGAGAAAAGGUGAGAAAAAAAAAUGGUGUCAGUUUUCCGUUAGCCACGUGAGCUCAUUUUUAACGAUGUUAGUUUUGGAGGAUUAAAAUCAAAGUUUCCUUAAGAAGGAGGACUAAAAUGUACCUUACUUUGAAAGAGAGUCUAAAACCAAAACCGCUUUGAUAGUAUAAAGACUAAAAACAUAUUUAACCCUAGUAUAAAAUAGCAUAUAGAUUAUUAAAGGGUUAAAUAUGUUUUUAGUCCCUAUACUUUAGGGUGAUUUUGGUUUUAGUCCCUCUUUCAAACUGUAGUACAAUUUAGUCCUUCAACUUUAGAAAACUCUGGUUUUAGUCCUUUUUACCAAUUUUUUUAACUUUAUUUGUUGUUUCAAAUACGUUUCUCAGUUAACAUUGAAGCAAAAAUGUGUCAAAU